AUAUGUGUCUCGCCGGCCUUCGGGUCGGAUAUGGCGAUAAACGGUCGGUGUAAUAAACCUAUUGGACCCGGGGGCGGUACCCGGCGCCUCCACCAAAAACCGGUCGGUCCUUGAUGACCGGCUUUUGAUGGGGGCGAAAUAGGAUCGACAAGGGUGUAAAGAUCGAACUUUUGCUCGGCAUGAUACCGCCGUUAUCGGGUCACAAGUGUAGUUGCAAACGACAACAACGCUAAGGGUUAUGCUCUCGCUGCCUAAUGGCGGUGCGGGAAAUCCGAACCAAGUCCUCUAGGUUAGCCCCUUGAGGCGGGGUCCGAAGGCACCUGGCAACAGAAGCCUUCACCUUCUC
RNAcentral lists this transfer-messenger RNA (346 nucleotides) under Paenirhizobium naphthalenivorans. Its description in RNAcentral is "Ciceribacter naphthalenivorans transfer RNA". It matches the Rfam family "Alphaproteobacteria transfer-messenger RNA". Rfam says of the family: Bacterial tmRNA, also known as 10Sa RNA or SsrA, is named for its dual tRNA and mRNA-like properties. The record is from RNAcentral. Lineage: Bacteria; Pseudomonadati; Pseudomonadota; Alphaproteobacteria; Hyphomicrobiales; Rhizobiaceae.